AGUUAUUUAGUUUAUAAAAAACAUAUAUUUUGAAAAUAUAAAAAAAGGAAUAUUGCCUUAAUAACUG
Molecule: transfer RNA, 67 nt
Filed under: Oregonia gracilis
Lineage: Eukaryota; Metazoa; Arthropoda; Malacostraca; Decapoda; Oregoniidae
Description: tRNA-Ser
Source: RNAcentral